UGCGGUAUGCCUAACACAUGCAAGUCGUACGAGAGUUUUUAACUCAAGUGGCGGACGGGUGAGUAACACGUGAGAAUUUGCCUUUAGGAGGGGGACAACAGUUGGAAACGACUGCUAAUACCCCAUAUGCUUCCGAGUGAAAUGAAUUUAUUCGCCUAAGGAGAAGCUCGCGGCUGAUUAGCUUGUUGGUAGAGUAAGAGCCUACCAAGGCGACGAUCAGUAUCUGGUUUGAGAGGACGAUCAGACACACUGGAACUGAGACACGGUCCAGACUCCUACGGGAGGCAGCAGUGGGGAAUUUUCCGCAAUGGGCGAAAGCCUGACGGAGCAAUACCGCGUGAGGGAAGACGGCCUAUGGGUUGUAAACCUCUUUUUUCAGGGAGGAAUAAAUGACGUGUACCUGAAGAAUAAGCAUCGGCUAACUCCGUGCCAGCAGCCGCGGUAAGACGGAGGAUGCAAGUGUUAUCCGGAAUCACUGGGCGUAAAGCGUCUGUAGGUUGUUGAACAAGUCAACUGUUAAAUCUUGAGGCUCAACUUCAAAAUCGCAGUCGAAACUGUUUGACUAGAGUAUAGUAGGGGUAAAGGGAAUUUCCAGUGGAGCGGUGAAAUGCGUAGAUAUUGGAAAGAACACCGAUGGCGAAGGCACUUUACUGGGCUAUUACUGACACUCAGAGACGAAAGCUAGGGUAGCAAAUGGGAUUAGAUACCCCCAGUAGUCCUAG
This 722-nucleotide ribosomal RNA is filed under the name uncultured cyanobacterium. Its description in RNAcentral is "bacterial SSU rRNA". It matches the Rfam family "Bacterial small subunit ribosomal RNA", at positions 38 to 799 of the family's 1533-position model. The record is from RNAcentral. Lineage: Bacteria; Bacillati; Cyanobacteriota.